This 239-nucleotide ribosomal RNA is filed under the name uncultured bacterium. RNAcentral describes it as "partial 16S ribosomal RNA". It matches the Rfam family "Bacterial small subunit ribosomal RNA", at positions 15 to 245 of the family's 1533-position model. The record is from RNAcentral.
GAUCAUGGCUCAGGAUGAACGCUAGCUACAGGCUUAACACAUGCAAGUCGAGGGGCAGCGGGAUUGAAGCUUACUUCAAUUGCCGGCGACCGGCGCACGGGUGAGUAACGCGUAUCCAACCUUCCGCUUACUCGGGGAUAGCCUUUCGAAAGAAAGAUUAAUACCCGAUGGUAUCUUAAGCACGCAUGAGAUUAAGAUUAAAGAUUUAUCAGUAAGCGAUGGGGAUGCGUUCCAUUAGG